RNAcentral lists this ribosomal RNA (363 nucleotides) under Enneanectes glendae (slender triplefin). RNAcentral describes it as "partial 12S ribosomal RNA". It matches the Rfam family "Bacterial small subunit ribosomal RNA", at positions 859 to 1388 of the family's 1533-position model. The record is from RNAcentral. Lineage: Eukaryota; Metazoa; Chordata; Actinopteri; Blenniiformes; Tripterygiidae.
CCAGAACCAUCCGCCAGGGUACUACGAGCAUCAGCUUAAAACCCAAAGGACUUGGCGGUGCUUAAGACCCCCCUAGAGGAGCCUGUUCUAGAACCGAUACCCCUCGUUAAACCUCACCCCUCCUUGUUUAUCCCGCCUAUAUACCGCCGUCGUCAGCUUACCCUGUGAAGGGAUAAUAGUAAGCAAAAUCAGCAAACCCCAAAACGUCAGGUCGAGGUGUAGCGAAUGGAGGGGGAAGAAAUGGGCUACAUUCCUUAUACAUAAGGAAAACGAAAGAUGUGAUGAAAUACACAUCAGAAGGAGGAUUUAGCAGUAAGUGGGAAGCAGAGAGUCCCGCUGAAGCCGGCCCUAAAGCGCGCACAC